This 465-nucleotide ribosomal RNA is filed under the name Oribacterium sinus. RNAcentral describes it as "bacterial SSU rRNA". It matches the Rfam family "Bacterial small subunit ribosomal RNA", at positions 28 to 497 of the family's 1533-position model. The record is from RNAcentral. Lineage: Bacteria; Bacillati; Bacillota; Clostridia; Lachnospirales; Lachnospiraceae.
GAUGAACGCUGGCGGCGUGCCUAACACAUGCAAGUCGAACGAGAUGCGUAUUGGAAAGCUUCGGCCGGAAGAUACGUUAUCUAGUGGCGGACGGGUGAGUAACACGUGGGUAACCUGCCUUAUGGAGGGGGAUAACAGAGAGAAAUCACUGCUAAUACCGCAUAAGCACACAGUACCGCAUGGUACAGGGUGAAAAGAUUUAUCGCCAUAAGAUGGACCCGCGUCUGAUUAGCCAGUUGGCAGGGUAAAAGCCUACCAAAGCAACGAUCAGUAGCCGAUCUGAGAGGAUGACCGGCCACAUUGGGACUGAGACACGGCCCAAACUCCUACGGGAGGCAGCAGUGGGGAAUAUUGCACAAUGGGGGAAACCCUGAUGCAGCGACGCCGCGUGAGUGAAGAAGUAUUUCGGUAUGUAAAGCUCUAUCAGCAGGGAAGAUAAUGACAGACCUGACUAAGAGCCCCGCA